AGAGUUUGAUCCUGGCUCAGGACGAACGCUGGCGGCGUGCUUAACACAUGCAAGUCGAACGAGGUCCAGGGAGUAGCAAUACUCCUGAAGACUUAGUGGCGAACGGGUGAGUAACACGUGAGCAACCUGCCCCGAAGACUGGGAUAACAGCGGGAAACCGCUGCUAAUACCGGAUACCCCCAUCGGACGACAUCGCCUGA
This 200-nucleotide ribosomal RNA is filed under the name uncultured bacterium. RNAcentral's name for it is "partial 16S ribosomal RNA". It matches the Rfam family "Bacterial small subunit ribosomal RNA", at positions 8 to 198 of the family's 1533-position model. The record is from RNAcentral.